GGAAUUAAGAGAAAUGGGAGGAAAAAAGAGAAAAUAUGAGUAUCACUAGUUUAAAUACACAUAUAUACACACGUUUGUGUGUGUCAAACUACUGAGCAAAUCAAGAUGCAGUUUAAAUUCCUGUUAACAAAUAAACUUCAACGUGGGUUUUUUUUGCUGCACUAAAUUUGCUGGAUCUUAGCUCCCUGUCAAGGAUCAAACUCAUGCCCUCCGCAGUGAAAGUGAGAAGUCCUAACCACUGGACUGCCAGGGAAUUCCCCCAAAGUAGGUCCCCUUUUCAAAAUUUCACAGGGCGCCGGCAACAUGGCGUCCCGGCCGAAGCGGCGUGUUGUGAGCCCCGUGGCCCCGGCUCUGGGCGACAAGGAAGAGGAGGAUGAAGUGGAGGAGGAGGACGAAGAUGACAGUGACGAAGAAGAUGAAGAGGACGAGGUCGUCAAUGAGGAAGUGAAUAUUGAAUUUGAAGCUUAUUCUAUCUCAGAUAACGAUUAUGAUGGAAUUAAGAAGUUACUACAGCAGCUUUUUCUGAAAGCCCCUGUGAACACCGCAGAACUCACAGAUCUCUUGAUUCAACAGAACCAUAUCGGGAGUGUGAUUAAGCAAACGGAUGUUUCAGAAGACAGCGAUGACGAUGUGGAUGAAGACAAGAUUUUUGGUUUCAUAAGUCUUUUAAAUUUAACUGAAAGAAAGGGAAUCCCUUGUGCUGAGCAAAGUAAGGAGUUGAUUCUGAGCCUCUGUGAGAAGAAUUGUGAGAAGAGCACGGUUGAGGAGUUGGACAGGCUUUUCAACGACACCGCCAGGCCUGUGGGCUUUCUGCUGAGUGAGAGAUUCAUUAACGUUCCUCCACAGAUCACACUGCCUAUGCACCAGCAGCUUCAGAAAGAAUUAGCAGAGGCACGCAGAACUAACAAGCCGUGUGGGAAGUGUCACUUCUACCUUCUGAUUAGCAAGACGUUUGUGGAAGCAGGAAAAAGCAAUUCCAAGAAGAAACGGAGCAACCAAAAGAAAGAAGCGUUAAUGUUUGCAAAUGCGGAAGAAGAAUUUUUCUACGAGAAGGCAAUCCUGAAGUUCAACUACUCAGUGCAGGAGGAGAGCGACCCGUGUCUGGGAGGCCGAUGGUCCUUUGAUGAUGUACCAAUGAAGCCCCUGCGAACUGUGAUGUUAAUUCCAGGCGACAAAAUGAAUGAAAUCAUGGAAAAACUGAAAGAACAUCUCUCUGUCUAACCCAUCUCCCAUGGACCGUGGCGGGCGGGCUUCUGCACAGUUACCGGAAGACUUGGUGGAGGCUUCCUGAAAAACUCACGACUUUAUUCAGAUGAAGGUCCUACAAAAAGUUGGGUUCUGUCAGCCGUGUCUGCGACACAUUUACAAAGUAUCUUUGCUUUUUUAAAAUUUUGGUCAAAUUAAGAACGGUUAAGAACUUUUCCAAUAAGAAGAAAAACCACAGGGUAGUAAUUUAAGGAACUCAAUAAAAACUUCUAUUUUUAGUUUUUAAAUAAAUAAAUAAAUAAAUAAA
RNA transcript from Capra hircus (goat), 1513 nucleotides. It is a transcript of the gene named BRCA2 and CDKN1A-interacting protein pseudogene, with no coding region annotated. NCBI's taxonomy places the organism in Eukaryota, Metazoa, Chordata, Mammalia, Artiodactyla, Bovidae. The transcript has a single exon. The record is from RefSeq and is a predicted model, not a curated record.